UAAUCAAGUGUUUUUAUGGCACUUUCAAAAAUCCAUAUCCACCUUGUGUGCAAUGUCAUCUCACUGGGGUCGCGUUUGUAAAAUCUCGUGAUCCGUUUGGGAUUUAUAUCUACUCAGAACUUUAGUCAUUUUGUCUGAAACAUAUUAUGAAUAACUUAAUUCAAAAUA
Molecule: unclassified non-coding RNA, 168 nt
Filed under: uncultured Mortierella
Lineage: Eukaryota; Fungi; Mortierellomycota; Mortierellomycetes; Mortierellales; Mortierellaceae
Description: sequence contains ITS1
Source: RNAcentral